This 253-nucleotide ribosomal RNA is filed under the name uncultured bacterium. RNAcentral's name for it is "partial 16S ribosomal RNA". It matches the Rfam family "Bacterial small subunit ribosomal RNA", at positions 524 to 776 of the family's 1533-position model. The record is from RNAcentral.
UACGUAGGGGGCAAGCGUUGUCCGGAAUCAUUGGGCGUAAAGCGCGCGUAGGCGGCUUUGUAAGUUAGAGGUGAAAGCCCGGGGCUCAACCCCGGAACUGCCUUUAAGACUGCAUCGCUUGAAUCCAGGAGAGGUGAGUGGAAUUCCGAGUGUAGAGGUGAAAUUCGUAGAUAUUCGGAAGAACACCAGUGGCGAAGGCGGCUCACUGGACUGGUAUUGACGCUGAGGUGCGAAAGCGUGGGGAGCAAACAGG